GUUGUGUGCCGCCCGCCUAAAAACGGGCGUGCCUCAACACACCGUGUCUACCUACUAUCGUUGCUUUGGCGGGUCGUCUCACGACCAUGGGCUCCAGCUCGUGCGUGCCCGCCAGAGGACCAAACUCUGAAUUUUAGUGAUGUCUGAGUACUAUAUAAUAGUUAAAACUUUCAACAACGGAUCUCUUGGUUCUGGCAUCGAUGAAGAACGCAGCGAAAUGCGAUAAGUAAUGUGAAUUGCAGAAUUCAGUGAAUCAUCGAAUCUUUGAACGCACAUUGCGCCCCGUGGUAUUCCGCGGGGCAUGCCUGUUCGAGCGUCAUUUAAACCAGUCAUGCCUCGCAUGGUGUUGGGGCACGCGGUUUCGCGGCCCUCAAAAUCAGUGGCAUCGCCGCAAGGUACUCAGCGUAGUAAUUACUAAGAGCUGAUUGUUAUCGCGCGGACGGUCGCCAGCAACCCCCCAUUUUUUACAGGUUGACCUCGGAUCAGGUAGGGAUACCCGCUGAACUUAAGCAUAUCAAUAAGCGGAGGAAAAGAAACCAACAGGGAUUACCUCAGUAACGGCGAGUGAAGCGGUAACAGCUCAAAUUUGAAAGCUCCUACCAAGGCGCAUUGUAAUUUGUAGAAGAUGCUUUGGGUGUCGGCCCGGUCUAAGUUCCUUGGAACAGGACGUCAUAGAGGGUGAGAAUCCCGUAUGUGAUCGGUGCCGUUGUCCGUGUAAAGCUCUUUCGACGAGUCGAGUUGUUUGGGAAUGCAGCUCAAAAUGGGUGGUAUAUUUCAUCU
Molecule: ribosomal RNA, 780 nt
Filed under: uncultured fungus
Lineage: Eukaryota; Fungi
Description: eukaryotic LSU rRNA
Rfam family: Eukaryotic large subunit ribosomal RNA (bases 473-780)
Source: RNAcentral